This 493-nucleotide ribosomal RNA is filed under the name uncultured bacterium. RNAcentral's name for it is "partial 16S ribosomal RNA". It matches the Rfam family "Bacterial small subunit ribosomal RNA", at positions 30 to 523 of the family's 1533-position model. The record is from RNAcentral.
AUUGAACGCUGGCGGCAUGCCUUACACAUGCAAGUCGAACGGUAACAGGUUAAGCUGACGAGUGGCGAACGGGUGAGUAAUAUAUCGGAACGUGCCCAGUCGUGGGGGAUAACGUAGCGAAAGCUACGCUAAUACCGCAUACGAUCUACGGAUGAAGGCGGGGGAUCGCAAGACCUCGCGCGAUUGGAGCGGCCGAUAUCAGAUUAGCUAGUUGGUGAGGUAAAGGCUCACCAAGGCGACGAUCUGUAGCUGGUCUGAGAGGACGACCAGCCACACUGGAACUGAGACACGGUCCAGACUCCUGCGGGAGGCAGCAGUGGGGAAUUUUGGACAAUGGGCGCAAGCCUGAUUCAGCAAUGCCGCGUGCAGGACGAAGGCCCUCGGGUUGUAAACUGCUUUUGUACGGAGCGAAACGGUCUUCUCUAAUACAGGGGGCUAAUGACGGUACCGUAAGAAUAAGCACCGGCUAACUACGUGCCAGCCGCCGCCGUAA